UACGGGAGGCAGCAGUGGGGAAUAUUGCACAAUGGGCGCAAGCCUGAUGCAGCCAUGCCGCGUGUAUGAAGAAGGCCUUCGGGUUGUAAAGUACUUUCAGUCGUGAGGAAGGUGUUAAGGUUAAUAACCUUAGCAAUUGACGUUAGCGACAGAAGAAGCACCGGCUAACUCCGUGCCAGCAGCCGCGGUAAUACGGAGGGUGCGAGCGUUAAUCGGAAUUACUGGGCGUAAAGGGCACGCAGGCGGUUAAUUAAGUUGGAUGUGAAAUCCCCGGGCUUAACCUGGGAAUGGCAUUCAAGACUGGUUAGCUAGAGUCUUGUAGAGGGGGUAGAAUUCCAUGUGUAGCGGUGAAAUGCGUAGAGAUGUGGAGGAAUACCGGUGGCGAAGGCGGCCCCUGGACAAAGACUGACGCUCAUGUGCGAAAGCGUGGGGAGCAAACAGGGAUUAGGAUACC
RNAcentral lists this ribosomal RNA (454 nucleotides) under uncultured bacterium. RNAcentral's name for it is "bacterial SSU rRNA". It matches the Rfam family "Bacterial small subunit ribosomal RNA", at positions 340 to 786 of the family's 1533-position model. The record is from RNAcentral.